Molecule: ribosomal RNA, 433 nt
Filed under: uncultured bacterium
Lineage: Bacteria
Description: bacterial SSU rRNA
Rfam family: Bacterial small subunit ribosomal RNA
Source: RNAcentral
AACGAACGCUGGCGGCAGGCCUGACACAUGCAAGUCGAGCGGACCCUUCGGGGUUAGCGGCGGACGGGUUAGUAACGCGUGGGAACGUGCCCAAAGGUACGGAAUAGCCUCGGGAAACUGAGAGUAAUACCGUAUGUGCCCCUCGGGGGAAAGAUUUAUCGCCUUUGGAUCGGCCCGCGUUGGAUUAGGUAGUUGGUGGGGUAAUGGCCUACCAAGCCGACGAUCCAUAGCUGGUUUGAGAGGAUGAUCAGCAACACUGGGACUGAGACACGGCCCAGACUCCUACGGGAGGCAGCAGUGGGGAAUCUUAGACAAUGGGGGAAACCCUGAUCUAGCCAUGCCGCGUGGACGAUGAAGGCCUUAGGGUUGUAAAGUCCUUUCAGCUGGGAAGAUAAUGACGGUACCAGCAGAAGAAGCCCCGGCUAACUCCGUG